RNAcentral lists this ribosomal RNA (894 nucleotides) under uncultured bacterium. RNAcentral describes it as "bacterial SSU rRNA". It matches the Rfam family "Bacterial small subunit ribosomal RNA", at positions 8 to 916 of the family's 1533-position model. The record is from RNAcentral.
AGAGUUUGAUCAUGGCUCAGGACGAACGCUGGCGGCGCGCUUAACACAUGCAAGUCGUGCGGUGUCGAAGGCAAGUCUUACGACAAGCCUUCGACACAGCGGCGAACGGGUGAGUAACACGUGAGUAGCUGUCCUAAGGAGGGGGAUAACGCCUGGAAACGGGUGCUAAUACCCCAUAUGCCUCGCAAGAGGUGAAAGUGUACUUGCUACAGCCUUAGGGUGUGCUCGCGGCCUAUCAGCUAGUUGGUGAGGUAACGGCUCACCAAGGCUAAGACGGGUAGCCGGCCUGAGAGGGUGUACGGCCACACUGGAAUUGAGAUACGGUCCAGACUCCUACGGGAGGCAGCAGUGGGGAAUCUUGGGCAAUGGGCGAAAGCCUGACCCAGCGACGCCGCGUUGGGGAUGAAGCCCUUCGGGGCGUAAACCCAUGUUGUAGGGGACGAAGAAAGUGACGGUACCCUACGAGAAAGCCCCGGCCAACUACGUGCCAGCAGCCGCGGUAAAACGUAGGGGGCGAGCGUUGUCCGGAAUUACUGGGCGUAAAGGGCACGCAGGCGGUACGCCAAGUCGGGGGUGUAAAGUUACGGCUCAACCGUGACCUUGCAAUCGAUACUGGCGUACUGGAGUGCGGGAGAGGGAAGUGGAAUUCCCGGUGUAGCGGUGAAAUGCGUAGAUAUCGGGAGGAACGCCAGUGGCGAAGGCGGCUUCCUGGCCCGCGACUGACGCUCAUGUGCGAAAGCCAGGGGAGCGAACCGGAUUAGAUACCCGGGUAGUCCUGGCCGUAAACGAUGGGUGCUAGGUGUAGGCGCGUCAAGCGUCUGUGCCGCAGUUAACGCGAUAAGCACCUCGCCUGGGGAGUACGGUCGCAAGGCUGAAACUCAAAUGAAUUGACGG